AACGCCAGAACCUAAGAGUCCGAG
This 24-nucleotide small nuclear RNA is filed under the name Arabidopsis thaliana (thale cress). RNAcentral describes it as "snRNA_07862". Lineage: Eukaryota; Viridiplantae; Streptophyta; Magnoliopsida; Brassicales; Brassicaceae. The record is from RNAcentral.